RNAcentral lists this ribosomal RNA (823 nucleotides) under Calcaridorylaimus signatus. RNAcentral's name for it is "SSU rRNA". It matches the Rfam family "Eukaryotic small subunit ribosomal RNA", at positions 96 to 919 of the family's 1831-position model. Lineage: Eukaryota; Metazoa; Nematoda; Enoplea; Dorylaimida; Dorylaimidae. The record is from RNAcentral.
GCUCAUUACAACAGCCACCGUUUACUAGAAUAUAGUUAUCUUACUUGGAUAACUGUGGCAAUUCUAGAGCUAAUACAUGCAAAAAAGCUCUGCCCGCAAGGAACGAGCGCAUUUAUUAGAAUAAAAACCAAUCGGGCUUCGGCUCGUAAUUUGGUGAAUCUGAAUAACUUUGCCAAUCGCACAGUCCUAGUACUGGCGAUGUAUCUUUCAAGUGUCUGCCUUAUCAACUUUCGAUGGUAGGUUAUACGCCUACCAUGGUAGUAACGGGUAACGGAGAAUAAGGGUUCGACUCCGGAGAGGGAGCCUGAGAAACGGCUACCACAUCCAAGGAAGGCAGCAGGCGCGCAAAUUACCCACUUCCAGAACGGAGAGGUAGUGACGAAAAAUAACGAGACAGUCCUCUUCGAGGUCUGUCAUCGGAAUGGGUACAAUUUAAAUCCUUUAACGAGGAUCUAUUGGAGGGCAAGUCUGGUGCCAGCAGCCGCGGUAAUUCCAGCUCCAAUAGCGUAUAUUAAAGUUGUUGCGGUUAAAACGCUCGUAGUUGGAUUUGCGGCCUCGGAGAACGGUCCCCCGAAAGGGUGGUUACUGUCUUUCCUAGCCUAAUUUCGAGUCGUCUUUAGGUGCUCUUUACCGGGUGCUUAGAGUGACUAGAACGUUUACUUUGAAAAAAUUAGAGUGCUUAAAGCAGGCGAAAUAGCCUGAAUAAGGUGCAUGGAAUAAUGGAAUAGGACCUCGGUUCUAUUUUGUUGGUUUUCGGAACCCGAGGUAAUGAUUAAGAGGAACAGACGGGGGCAUUCGUAUUCCGGCGCUAGAGGUGAAAUUC